GCGGGUGUGUGUGUGCGUGUGUGUGUGUGUGUGUGUGUGUUUCUGCAGACUGACUGGUGCUUCUGAAUGAUCUCAUCCUAUGAUUUGAUACAUAAAGAAUCUCUCUGUUCUCCGUGCCCAGCACCAUUUCUGCUCCAGAGCCGGACACCGCCGUGUGUGCACAGUCACCGUCAUUGAAAAUACAGUACAGACGAGAAAGGCCAAACUGUGUGUUUUUGCUUCGUCCCUACGGGGAUAAAAUCUUUGACACACAGAGCCAAGGCCCGGGUGUGUGUGAGAGAGACAGACAGCGGCCGUAUGGAAAACCGACAGUAGCCGCCCCUAAAUAACGGCUUCAUUUUUUUUUCUUCAAGUUUGCAGCAAAAAAUCAAUUCCGCAAACGUAUUACGGUGGCGUAAUUACAAAUAGCUAAUUCGCCGUGACUGUUUACGGCGCUGUCAUUAGCCGAAGUAACGUGCUGGCCGUUAGCUAGGCUACGCAGGAAAAGCUACUCACCGAUACGAGUUUCUCUACCGUGAGCACAAAAGGAGCUUCCUCACGCCGACAUAUUCCUCCUUAUCGCUCACGUUCUCGACAUCAAACCACCGCCACCCUUUCACCACAAACGACAGUAGCGAGUGAGACAAGAACGUGGGAAGGACCUGCAGCAAAUGGCCAUAUGAUGGAUUCGAACCCAUGACCGCUCCAUCAGGGACUACAGCCCCAAUCCAUGGGUCGGCAACUCAACCAGUUGAGCUAUAGUGGCGGCCCCAGGGUAAAGUUUUUAAAUAACAGAUAUCACCAUUAAAUCAAAUGAGUCGUUCCUAAUUUAGGAGGAGUCAAAUGGAUUAAUUAGGGGAGAAAAGAAAGAGAACAUGUGAGGAGUGUAGCUAUGUUGUUGCAUGUUUUCUGAUUUUUAUAUAUAAAUUACAUCUUGCUUCUUCUAGUUCAGUGAUGUUAUUAUAUUAGGCUAUGCCUCAACCAUAUCUUCUAUACUUUUCUGAUGGUGGAAAAAGGAUUCAGAUCCUGUAACUUUGCAUAAAAAUACUUGGCCCAUUUUGGAUUAACACAUUUUAUAAUAUUAGCUUAUACUUAUUGAUACAUUCACAGCACAAGACAGGAAGGCACUCCAGAGGGUGAUCAAGACUUCACAGCACAUUGCUGGGGCAGCCUUCCCCUCACUGCAAGACAUUUACAAAACCAGGGUCCUACGAAGAACACACAACCUCAUCAAAGACAGCACACAUCCGCAACACUCACUCUUCACACUCCUACCAUCAGGCAA
Molecule: long non-coding RNA, 1264 nt
Organism: Stegastes partitus (bicolor damselfish)
Lineage: Eukaryota; Metazoa; Chordata; Actinopteri; Pomacentridae
Exons: 3
Source: RefSeq, a predicted model, not a curated record